GACGAACGCUGGCGGCAUGCCUAAUACAUGCAAGUCGAGCGAACAGAUGAAGUGCUUGCACUUCUGACGUUAGCGGCGAACGGGUGAGUAACACGUAAGGAAUCUACCUAUAAGCGGGGGAUAACAUUCGGAAACGGGUGCUAAUACCGCAUAAUAUCUUCUUCCGCAUGGAAGAAGAUUGAAAGACGGCUCUGCUGUCACUUAUAGAUGACCUUGCGGUGCAUUAGUUAGUUGGUGGGGUAACGGCCUACCAAGACGAUGAUGCAUAGCCGACCUGAGAGGGUGAUCGGCCACAUUGGGACUGAGACACGGCCCAAACUCCUACGGGAGGCAGCAGUAGGGAAUCUUCCGCAAUGGGCGAAAGCCUGACGGAGCAAUGCCGCGUGAGUGAAGAAGGCCUUCGGGUCGUAAAACUCUGUUAUAAGAGAAGAACAAAUUGUAGAGUAACUGCUACAGUCUUGACGGUAUCUUACCAGAAAGCCACGGCUAACUACGUGCCAGCAGCCGCGGUAA
RNAcentral lists this ribosomal RNA (513 nucleotides) under uncultured bacterium. RNAcentral describes it as "partial 16S ribosomal RNA". It matches the Rfam family "Bacterial small subunit ribosomal RNA", at positions 28 to 523 of the family's 1533-position model. The record is from RNAcentral.